GCGGGGGUGGCCGAGCCAGGUCAAAGGUUAAAAGAGUUCCGAUCAUAGGCGCAGGACUGAGGAUCCUGUGGCGUAGGCCUGCGUGGGUUCAAAUCCCACCCCCCGCACCA
Molecule: transfer RNA, 110 nt
Filed under: Candidatus Bathyarchaeota archaeon
Lineage: Archaea; Thermoproteati; Candidatus Bathyarchaeota
Description: tRNA-Leu
Rfam family: tRNA
About the family: Transfer RNA (tRNA) molecules are approximately 80 nucleotides in length. Their secondary structure includes four short double-helical elements and three loops (D, anti-codon, and T loops).
Source: RNAcentral